UAACGAAUAUUCCGCAAUGCGCGAAAGCGUGACGGAGCAAUGCCGCGUGUGGGACGAAGCCCCUAGGGGUGUAAACCACUGUCAGGGUUCAGGAAUUUUGACCAGACCCAGAGGAAGGGCCGGCUAACUUCGUGCCAGCAGCCGCGGUAAUACGAAGGGCCCGAGCGUUGCGCGGAAUCACUGGGCUUAAAGGGUGCGCAGGCGGACUCGCAAGUGUCUUGUGAAAUCCCACGGCUCAACCGUGGAAUUGCUUGGCAAACUGCGAGUCUUGAGCCCGGCAGGGGCCAUCGGAACUCUAGGUGGAGCGGUGAAAUGCGUAGAUAUCUAGAGGAACGCCCAAGGCGAAGGCAGAUGGCUGGGCCGGCGCUGACGCUCAGGCACGAAAGCGUGGGGAGCGAACGGGAUUAGAUACCCCCGUAGUCC
Molecule: ribosomal RNA, 423 nt
Filed under: uncultured prokaryote
Description: bacterial SSU rRNA
Rfam family: Bacterial small subunit ribosomal RNA
Source: RNAcentral